GGGGGAAUCUAGACAUGAGAGGAAUUCUCUUGAUUAUGAAAUAUUACCUAGACAUAGGAAUAGGACGAUCAAUUGCUUUAAGCUUCUGUACACUGAAAUGCAUGACUAAUUACUAGGGAGACUAGACAUAGUAAACUAGUAGUUGGGAUUAGGCUCUCUUUGCCGAGACAUCGGGUUUAGAGUAAAUUAGAAAGUUACAUGACAUUGAUAACAAAGUUGAAUUUAAUAAGAAUAAUAGAUACAAGAGAGUGGAUUAGGAUGAAACCGUAAACCCCAGCAACACCAUUCAUUCAUAUCUUUAUAUGUCAAUUGAUCAAGUUUUUGCAUUUGCAUGUUUAUUUUAGUCUGUGCAUUAUAAACCCUAAAUUUAAUCUUUAUCCAGUCUUAAGAAAUCAAUUCACAUAAACGAUUAGGCCUAAGAGUCCCUUGGAAAACUAUAUUCGGACUUACCGUUUAUUUAUUACUUGAUACGAUCUGGUACACUUGUCAGGGUGUUAACACCCAGCGCUGAGUGCCAUUCUUUUG
RNAcentral lists this long non-coding RNA (525 nucleotides) under Vigna radiata. RNAcentral describes it as "long non-coding RNA (VRAD_LNC008752)". Lineage: Eukaryota; Viridiplantae; Streptophyta; Magnoliopsida; Fabales; Fabaceae. The record is from RNAcentral.